GAUGAACGCUGGCGGCGUGCCUAAUACAUGCAAGUCGAGCGAACAGACGAGGAGCUUGCUCCUCUGACGUUAGCGGCGGACGGGUGAGUAACACGUGGAUAACCUACCUAUAAGACUGGGAUAACUUCGGGAAACCGGAGCUAAUACCGGAUAACAUGUUGAACCGCAUGGUUCAACAGUGAAGGACGGUCUUGCUGUCACUUAUAGAUGGAUCCGCGCCGCAUUAGCUAGUUGGUAAGGUAACGGCUUACCAAGGCAACGAUGCGUAGCCGACCUGAGAGGGUGAUCGGCCACACUGGAACUGAGACACGGUCCAGACUCCUACGGGAGGCAGCAGUAGGGAAUCUUCCGCAAUGGGCGAAAUCCUGACGGAGCAACGCCGCGUAAGUGAAGAAGGUCUUCGGAUCGUAAAACUCUGUUAUUAGGGAAGAACAAAUGUGUAAGUAACUAUGCACGUCUUGACGGUACCUAAUCAGAAAGCCACGGCUAACUACGUG
RNAcentral lists this ribosomal RNA (497 nucleotides) under uncultured bacterium. RNAcentral's name for it is "partial 16S ribosomal RNA". It matches the Rfam family "Bacterial small subunit ribosomal RNA", at positions 28 to 507 of the family's 1533-position model. The record is from RNAcentral.